UGGGGAAUAUUGGACAAUGGGCGAAAGCCUGAUCCAGCCAUGCCGCGUGUGUGAAGAAGGUCUUCGGAUUGUAAAGCACUUUAAGUUGGGAGGAAGGGCAGUAAGCGAAUACCUUGCUGUUUUGACGUUACCGACAGAAUAAGCACCGGCUAACUCUGUGCCAGCAGCCGCGGUAAUACAGAGGGUGCAAGCGUUAACCGGAAUUACUGGGCGUAAAGCGCGCGUAGGUGGUUCGUUAAGUUGAAUGUGAAAGCCCCGGGCUCAACCUGGGAACUGCAUCCAAAACUGGCGAGCUAGAGUAGGGCAGAGGGUGGUGGAAUUUCCUGUGUAGCGGUGAAAUGCGUAGAUAUAGGAAGGAACACCAGUGGCGAAGGCGACCACCUGGGCUCAUACUGACACUGAGGUGCGAAAGCGUGGGGAGCAAACAGG
Molecule: ribosomal RNA, 429 nt
Filed under: Pseudomonadota bacterium
Lineage: Bacteria; Pseudomonadati; Pseudomonadota
Description: Proteobacteria bacterium partial 16S ribosomal RNA
Rfam family: Bacterial small subunit ribosomal RNA
Source: RNAcentral